RNAcentral lists this ribosomal RNA (709 nucleotides) under uncultured Arthrobacter sp. RNAcentral describes it as "bacterial SSU rRNA". It matches the Rfam family "Bacterial small subunit ribosomal RNA", at positions 798 to 1502 of the family's 1533-position model. The record is from RNAcentral. Lineage: Bacteria; Bacillati; Actinomycetota; Actinomycetes; Micrococcales; Micrococcaceae.
GGAUUCUUUCGUAGGGCCUAGGUGUGGGGGACAUUCCACGUUUUCCGCGCCGUAGCUAACGCAUUAAGUGCCCCGCCUGGGGAGUACGGCCGCAAGGCUAAAACUCAAAGGAAUUGACGGGGGCCCGCACAAGCGGCGGAGCAUGCGGAUUAAUUCGAUGCAACGCGAAGAACCUUACCAAGGCUUGACAUGAACCGGAAAGACCUGGAAACAGGUGCCCCGCUUGCGGUCGGUUUACAGGUGGUGCAUGGUUGUCGUCAGCUCGUGUCGUGAGAUGUUGGGUUAAGUCCCGCAACGAGCGCAACCCUCGUUCUAUGUUGCCAGCACGUUAUGGUGGGGACUCAUAGGAGACUGCCGGGGUCAACUCGGAGGAAGGUGAGGACGACGUCAAAUCAUCAUGCCCCUUAUGUCUUGGGCUUCACGCAUGCUACAAUGGCCGGUACAAUGGGUUGCGAUACUGUGAGGUGGAGCUAAUCCCAAAAAGCCGGUCUCAGUUCGGAUUGGGGUCUGCAACUCGACCCCAUGAAGUCGGAGUCGCUAGUAAUCGCAGAUCAGCAACGCUGCGGUGAAUACGUUCCCGGGCCUUGUACACACCGCCCGUCAAGUCACGAAAGUUGGUAACACCCGAAGCCCAUGGCCCAACCCGCAAGGGAGGGAGUGGUCGAAGGUGGGACUGGCGAUUGGGACUAAGUCGUAAAAAGGGUAACCA